Molecule: ribosomal RNA, 617 nt
Filed under: Flavobacterium sp. Se2Ps_2424
Lineage: Bacteria; Pseudomonadati; Bacteroidota; Flavobacteriia; Flavobacteriales; Flavobacteriaceae
Description: bacterial SSU rRNA
Rfam family: Bacterial small subunit ribosomal RNA
Source: RNAcentral
UGCCGCGUGCAGGAUGACGGUCCUAUGGAUUGUAAACUGCUUUUAUACGAGAAAAAACACUCCUUCGUGAAGGAGCUUGACGGUAUCGUAAGAAUAAGGAUCGGCUAACUCCGUGCCAGCAGCCGCGGUAAUACGGAGGAUCCAAGCGUUAUCCGGAAUCAUUGGGUUUAAAGGGUCCGUAGGCGGUUUAAUAAGUCAGUGGUGAAAGCCCAUCGCUCAACGGUGGAACGGCCAUUGAUACUGUUAAACUUGAAUUAUUAGGAAGUAACUAGAAUAUGUAGUGUAGCGGUGAAAUGCUUAGAGAUUACAUGGAAUACCAAUUGCGAAGGCAGGUUACUACUAAUGGAUUGACGCUGAUGGACGAAAGCGUGGGUAGCGAACAGGAUUAGAUACCCUGGUAGUCCACGCCGUACACGAUGGAUACUAGCUGUUGGAAGCAAUUUCAGUGGCUAAACGAAAGUGAUUAGUAUCCCACCUGGGGAGUACGUUCGCAAGAAUGAAACUCAAAGGAAUUGACGGGGGCCCGCACAAGCGGUGGAGCAUGUGGUUUAAUUCCAUGAUACACAAGGAACCUUACCAAGGCUUAAAUGUAGUUUGACCGAUAUGGAAACACAUCU